CACGGUGGAUGCCUAGGCGUCGAGAGGCGAAGAAGGACGUGGACAGCUGCGAUAAGCUUCGGGGAGCCGCUAACAGGCUUUGAUCCGGAGAUCUCCGAAUGGGACAACCCGCGCAGGGAUUACCUGCCAACGAAGUGGCGAACGCGCUGAACUGAAACAUCUAAGUAGGCGCAGGAAAAGAAAGCAACCGCGAUUCUCCUAGUAGCGGCGAGCGAACGGGGAACAGCCUAAACCAGUCGAGUGCAAGCGGUCAGCGUUGCUCGAUUGGGGUCGUGGGAUUUCUCAGGGGCCCGACACAGCCCCAGCAAGUGACAAAGCCUCAUUCUAAUCGAACGGUCUGGAACGGCCGGCCAUAGAGGGUGACAGCCCCCUUAGAUGAAAGAGCGAGGUCUUGCGAGAAACACCCGAGUACCGCCAGACACGUGCAAUCUGGUGGGAAUCUGGGGGGACCAUCCUCCAAGGCUAAAUACUACUCGACGACCGAUAGUGAACGAGUACCGCGA
RNAcentral lists this ribosomal RNA (503 nucleotides) under uncultured bacterium. RNAcentral's name for it is "bacterial LSU rRNA". It matches the Rfam family "Bacterial large subunit ribosomal RNA", at positions 20 to 506 of the family's 2925-position model. The record is from RNAcentral.